GACGAACGCUGGCGGCGUGCUUAACACAUGCAAGUCGAACGGCAAGGCCCGGGCUUGGUGGUGGUGGCGAGUGGCGAACGGGUGAGUAACACGUGGGUAACCUGCCUGUGACGGUGGGUUAACUUCAGGAAACUGGGGCUAAUACCGGAUAGGAGCUCCUGCUGCAUGGUGGGGGCUGGAAAGUUUCCGCGGUUGGGGUUGGACUCGCGGCUUAUCAGCUUGUUGGUGGGGUAGUGGUUUCCCAAGGCUGUGACGGGUAGCCGGCCUGAGAGGGUGACGGGCCACAUUGGGCCUGCGAUAGGCACCAGACUGCUACGGUAGGCAGCGGUGGAGAAUAUUGCACAAUGGGCGGAAGCCUGAUACAGCAACGCCGCGUGCGGGAUGACGGCUUUCGGGUUGUAAACCGCUUGGGCCUGUGACGAAGCGUGAGUGACGGUAAUGGGUAAAGAAGCACCGGCUAACUACGUG
This 468-nucleotide ribosomal RNA is filed under the name uncultured bacterium. RNAcentral's name for it is "partial 16S ribosomal RNA". It matches the Rfam family "Bacterial small subunit ribosomal RNA", at positions 28 to 507 of the family's 1533-position model. The record is from RNAcentral.